Long non-coding RNA from Octodon degus (degu), 461 nucleotides. RefSeq lists it as uncharacterized. The transcript is spliced from 3 exons. NCBI's taxonomy places the organism in Eukaryota, Metazoa, Chordata, Mammalia, Rodentia, Octodontidae. The record is from RefSeq and is a predicted model, not a curated record.
UCCCCACCCCCAAAGCAUCUCACAUCUGUGACCCCACUGGCCCCAGGCCCUGGAGCAAUGGCCCCUCUACCCAGAAUACCCGGCCCCAGUUGCCAUGGUCACCAUUCUGGUCUCCUGGACAACCCUUUUACUUCCAGUGGCUUCUCUGUCCAGGCUCAGAGGCCAAGGAAAGGGCCAGAGGUCCUGCGAGGGUGGCACUGAGGACCCAUGGCCAUGAACUUCCAGGACAAUGUGACCCUGGCCAUCGCCGUCUUCACCAUCCUCACCUCCAUCUACUUCUUCAACAAGGCUCAGCAGUGACAGCCACCAGCUCACCUGUGCAGGGCCAGCUGCUGCCCACCAGCACCAUGGCAAUGUCCUCUGAGACCCAAUAAACGGCGCGCACCAGCUCAGACAGUGCCCUGUCCUCUGUAGAACAGGGUGAGCUGGGCCUGCUGCCCACGGAGCGAGGGGGCUGUUGG